This 253-nucleotide ribosomal RNA is filed under the name uncultured bacterium. RNAcentral describes it as "partial 16S ribosomal RNA". It matches the Rfam family "Bacterial small subunit ribosomal RNA", at positions 524 to 776 of the family's 1533-position model. The record is from RNAcentral.
UACAGAGGGUGCGAGCGUUAAUCGGAAUUACUGGGCGUAAAGCGCGCGUAGGCGGCUUUGCAAGUCGAGUGUGAAAUCCCCAGGCUUAACCUGGGAACUGCAUUCGAGACUGCAUAGCUAGAGUAUGGGAGAGGGUAGUGGAAUUCCCGGUGUAGUGGUGAAAUGCGUAGAUAUCGGGAGGAACACCAGUGGCGAAGGCGACUACCUGGCCUGUUCUUGACGCUGAGGCGCGAAAGCUAGGGGAGCAAACGGG